AUUUCUUUAUCUGAUUCAUUUAAUGGAUCUAUUAGAAUCAAUGAGUGUGUUAGGAGAUUAAGUUUCAAUAUGACUGAAACUGAUGCAAGACGUGUAAGCAUGUUAUCUCCUUGCCGAGAUGAUGUGCCAGAUCCAGAAAUUGUUGCUGCGCCAGUGUCUUAUAAUAAUGAUAAGAAUGAAAGUGAUGAUGAAGAUUCAGAAUAUAUAC
Non-coding RNA from Nylanderia fulva, 208 nucleotides. The record is from RefSeq and is a predicted model, not a curated record. NCBI's taxonomy places the organism in Eukaryota, Metazoa, Arthropoda, Insecta, Hymenoptera, Formicidae.